This 515-nucleotide ribosomal RNA is filed under the name uncultured archaeon. RNAcentral's name for it is "bacterial SSU rRNA". It matches the Rfam family "Archaeal small subunit ribosomal RNA", at positions 345 to 859 of the family's 1478-position model. The record is from RNAcentral.
AACCUUUACACUGCACGACAGUGCGAUAAGGGAAUCCCAAGUGCGUAGGCAUAGAGCCUACGCUUUUGUCCACCGUAGGGAGGUGGACGAAUAAGGGCUGGGCAAGACCGGUGCCAGCCGCCGCGGUAAUACCGGCAGCCCGAGUGAUGGCCGAUCUUAUUGGGCCUAAAGCGUCCGUAGCUGGCCGCGCAAGUCUAUCGGAAAAUCCACCCGCUCAACGGGUGGGCGUCCGGUAGAAACUGCGUGGCUUGGGACCGGAAGGCGCGACGGGUACGUCCGGGGUAGGAGUGAAAUCCCGUAAUCCUGGACGGACCGCCGAUGGCGAAAGCACGUCGCGAAGACGGAUCCGACAGUGAGGGACGAAAGCUAGGGUCUCGAACCGGAUUAUAUACCCGGGUAGUCCUAGCCGUAAACAAUGCCUGCUAGGUGUGGCUCCCACUACGAGUGGGUGCUGUGCCGUAGGGAAGCUGCUAAGCAGGCCGCUUGGUAAGUACGUCCGCUAGGAUGAAACUUAA